RNAcentral lists this ribosomal RNA (738 nucleotides) under uncultured bacterium. Its description in RNAcentral is "bacterial SSU rRNA". It matches the Rfam family "Bacterial small subunit ribosomal RNA", at positions 104 to 828 of the family's 1533-position model. The record is from RNAcentral.
GGGUGAGUAACACGUGGGUAACCUGCCCUAAGGUCUGGGAUACCACUUGGAAACAGGUGCUAAUACCGGAUAACAACAAUAGCUGCAUGGCUAUUGCUUAAAAGGCGGCGAAAGCUGUCGCUAAAGGAUGGACCCGCGAUGCAUUAGCUAGUUGGUAAGGUAAUGGCUUACCAAGGCGACGAUGCAUAGCCGAGUUGAGAGACUGAUCGGCCACAUUGGGACUGAGACACGGCCCAAACUCCUACGGGAGGCAGCAGUAGGGAAUCUUCCACAAUGGGCGAAAGCCUGAUGGAGCAACGCCGCGUGAGUGAAGAAGGUUUUCGGAUCGUAAAGCUCUGUUGUUGGUGAAGAAGGAUAGAGGUAGUAACUGGCCCCUAUUUGACGGUAAUCAACCAGAAAGUCACGGCUAACUACGUGCCAGCAGCCGCGGUAAUACGUAGGUGGCAAGCGUUGUCCGGAUUUAUUGGGCGUAAAGCGAGCGCAGGCGGAAAGAUAAGUCUGAUGUGAAAGCCCCCGGCUUAACCGAGGAAUUGCAUCGGAAACUGUGUUUCUUGAGUGCAGAAGAGGAGAGUGGAACUCCAUGUGUAGCGGUGGAAUGCGUAGAUAUAUGGAAGAACACCAGUGGCGAAGGCGGCUCUCUGGUCUGUAACUGACGCUGAGGCUCGAAAGCAUGGGUAGCGAACAGGAUUAGAUACCCUGGUAGUCCAUGCCGUAAACGAUGAGUGCUAAGUGUUGGGA